CCACCGCCUUUGAAAUAUUCUUUCUUAGUCUAAAUAUACAUCAACCCUAUAAAUAUUCUUUCUUGGUCCAAAAACCCCGUUCGUUGAUUGUUUUUGAGGGUAUACGCAGUGUUUGCUUGUUCAUAUGGGUAACUUUUGUUGAUCAAGACAUGGGUAAUUACAGUGCCUUAUAGUUAUUCUUGAUCUGGGUAGCUAUUGUUUAUCAAGAUACAGGCCAAAUAUUGUAUAAUCAAGAUAGUGGAUAGUUAUUGUUUGAUCAAGAUACUGGUAAUUAUUGUUGAUCAAUAUUGUGGGUAACUAUUGUUUGGUCAAGAUACUGGGUAAUUAUUGUGCUCCUUAUUGUUAAUCUGGAUACUUAUUGUUGAGCAAGAUAGCGGGUAACUAUUGUUGAUCAGGAUAAUGGGUAAUAAUGUUUGAUCAAGAUAUGGGUAGUUAUUGUAGAUUAUUGUAUAUGAUUUGGUCUUCUUUCGUUGGUAUCUUGAGGAUAUAAGCAGUGUUUGAUUGUUCAUAUGGUUUAUUGUUGAUCAAGAUGAUGGGUUAUUAUUGUUUGAUCAAGAUGAUGGGUUAUUGUUGUUGAUCAACACGUGGGUAAUUAUUGUUUGAUCAAGAUAUGGGUAUGUCUUCGUUUGGGGAGGCGACUGGUUGGGUUUUUGAUUUCUUGGCCAUCUUAGAAUUAUAUACAAUCUCAAGUCAUGUACUUUUGAAUCUUGGUUUUCAAAGAUAUCAAUAUUUAGGGAGCCAUUGCUUAGGUUUCUGAUUUGCAACUCUUUGAUCUUCAAUGUUAGGG
RNAcentral lists this long non-coding RNA (787 nucleotides) under Solanum tuberosum (potato). RNAcentral describes it as "long non-coding RNA (STUB_LNC000140)". Lineage: Eukaryota; Viridiplantae; Streptophyta; Magnoliopsida; Solanales; Solanaceae. The record is from RNAcentral.